GACGAACGCUGGCGGCGUGCUUAACACAUGCAAGUCUAACGGAAAGGCCCUGCUUUUGUGGGGUGCUCGAGUGGCGAACGGGUGAGUAACACGUGAGUAACCUGCCCUUGACUUUGGGAUAACUUCAGGAAACUGGGGCUAAUACCGUAUAUGAGCUUCUGCUGCAUGGUGGGGGUGGGAAAGUUUCGGCGGUUGGGGAUGGACUCGCGGGUUAUCAGCUUGUUGGUGGGGUAGUGGCCUACGAAGGCUUUGACGGGUAGCCGGCCUGAGAGGGUGACCGGCCACAUUGGGACUGAGAUACGGCACAGACUCCUACGGGAGGCAGCAGUGGGGAAUACUGCACAAUGGGCGGCAGCAUGACGCAGCACCGCCGCGUGCGGGAUGACGGCCUUCGGGUUGUAACCCGCGUUCGCCUGUGACGAAGCGUGAGUGACGGUACUGGGUAAAGAGGCACCGGCUAACUACGUG
This 468-nucleotide ribosomal RNA is filed under the name uncultured bacterium. RNAcentral's name for it is "partial 16S ribosomal RNA". It matches the Rfam family "Bacterial small subunit ribosomal RNA", at positions 28 to 507 of the family's 1533-position model. The record is from RNAcentral.